AAGUCGUAACAAGGUCUCCGUUGGUGAACCAGGCGGAGGGAGCAUUACUGAGUUCUACACUCUGCUACCCUUUGGUGAACUAUUAUAGCCUGUUUGCUUCGGCGGCGCCCGCAAGGGUGCCCGCCGGUCUCAUCAGAAUCUCUGUUUUCGAACCCGACGAUACUUCUGGGGGGGAGUUUGUUCUUAGCGAACUGUCAAAACUUUGUAACAACGGAUCUCUUGGCUCCAGCAUCGAUGAAGAACGCAGCGAACGCGAUAUGUAAUGGUGAAUUGCAGAAUUCAGUGAAUCAUCGAAUCUUAUGAACGCACAUGGCGCCUUCCAGUAUCCUGGGAGGCAUGCCUGUCCGAGCGUCGUUUCAACCCUCGAGCCCCUGUGGCCCCGGCGUUGGGGGAUCUGCCACGGCAGGCCCUAAAACCAGUGGCGGACCGAAGGGCCCUCUCCUUUGCGCAGUAGCAUUCGCCUCGCAUCGGGAGUCCUCGGCGUCCUGCCUCUAAACCCCCACAAGCCCGCUUCGGCGGCACCAAGGUUGACCUCGGAUCAGGUAGCGAAUACCCGCUGAACUUAA
Molecule: ribosomal RNA, 566 nt
Filed under: uncultured fungus
Lineage: Eukaryota; Fungi
Description: eukaryotic LSU rRNA
Rfam family: 5.8S ribosomal RNA (bases 200-354)
Source: RNAcentral